UCUCCGUAGGUGAACCUGCGGAGGGAUCAUUACACAAUACAAUAUGAAGGCUGUCCGCAGCUGGAGUAUUUUAUUACCCUUGUCUUUUGCGCACUUGUUGUUUCCUGGGCGGGUUCGCUCGCCACCAGGACCACCAAAUAAACCUUUUUUAUGCAGUUGCAAUCAGCGUCAGUACAAACAAUGUAAAUCAUUUACAACUUUCAACAACGGAUCUCUUGGUUCUGGCAUCGAUGAAGAACGCAGC
Molecule: unclassified non-coding RNA, 244 nt
Filed under: uncultured fungus
Lineage: Eukaryota; Fungi
Description: sequence contains ITS1, 5.8S rRNA gene
Rfam family: 5.8S ribosomal RNA (bases 196-244)
Source: RNAcentral